Molecule: ribosomal RNA, 892 nt
Filed under: uncultured Gammaproteobacteria bacterium
Lineage: Bacteria; Pseudomonadati; Pseudomonadota; Gammaproteobacteria
Description: bacterial SSU rRNA
Rfam family: Bacterial small subunit ribosomal RNA
Source: RNAcentral
AUUGAACGCUGGCGGUAUGCUUAACACAUGCAAGUCGAACGGUAACAUUAGAGUGCUUGCACUUUAGAUGACGAGUGGCGGACGGGUGAGUAAAGCAUAGGAAUCUACCUAUUAGUCAGGGAUAGCUUGUGGAAACGCAAGGUAAUACCGGAUGUGAUUUACGAAUUAAAGGCUGCGCAAGCAGUCGCUAAUAGAUGAGCCUAUGUCGGAUUAGCUAGUUGGUGGGGUAAAGGCCUACCAAGGCGACGAUCCGUAGCUGUUCUGAGAGGAAGAUCAGCCACAUUGGGACUGAGACACGGCCCAGACUCCUACGGGAGGCAGCAGUGGGGAAUAUUGGACAAUGGGGGCAACCCUGAUCCAGCAAUACCGCGUGUGUGAAGAAGGCCUGCGGGUUGUAAAGCACUUUCAGUAGUGAGGAAGGUAUAUAUUUUAAUAGAGUAUAUAUUUGACGUUAGCUACAGAAGAAGCACCGGCUAACUCUGUGCCAGCAGCCGCGGUAAUACAGAGGGUGCAAGCGUUAAUCGGAAUUACUGGGCGUAAAGAGUGCGUAGGUUGUUAUGUAAGUCAGGUGUGAAAGACUGUAGCUUAACUACAGAAUUGCGCUUGAUACUGUGUAACUAGAGUCUUGGAGAGGGCAGUGGAAUUUCCGGUGUAGCGGUGAAAUGCGUAGAUAUCGGAAGGAACACCAGAUGCGAAGGCGACUGCCUGGCCAAAGACUGACACUGAGGCACGAAAGCGUGGGUAGCAAACAGGAUUAGAUACCCUGGUAGUCCACGCCGUAAACGAUGAGAACUAGCCGUUAGAGACCAAGGUUUUUAGUAGCGCAGCUAACGCAUUAAGUUCUCCGCCUGGGGAGUACGGUCGCAAGAUUAAAACUCAAAGGAAUUGACGG